This 253-nucleotide ribosomal RNA is filed under the name uncultured bacterium. RNAcentral's name for it is "partial 16S ribosomal RNA". It matches the Rfam family "Bacterial small subunit ribosomal RNA", at positions 524 to 776 of the family's 1533-position model. The record is from RNAcentral.
UACAGAGGUCUCAAGCGUUGUUCGGAUUCAUUGGGCGUAAAGGGUGCGUAGGCGGCGCGGUAAGUCGGGGGUGAAAUCUCGGAGCUUAACUCCGAAACUGCAUUCGAUACUGCCGUGCUUGAGGACUGGAGAGGAGACUGGAAUUUACGGUGUAGCGGUGAAAUGCGUAGAUAUCGUAAGGAAGACCAGUGGCGAAGGCGGGUCUCUGGACAGUUCCUGACGCUGAGGCACGAAAGCUAGGGGAGCAAACAGG